Molecule: long non-coding RNA, 3588 nt
Filed under: Mus musculus (house mouse)
Lineage: Eukaryota; Metazoa; Chordata; Mammalia; Rodentia; Muridae
Description: long non-coding RNA chrX:134360392-134363980
Source: RNAcentral
GUUAAGAGCGCUUACUGAUUUUGCAGAGGACCCAGCUUCUGUUCCCAGCAGCAAUGUGGUAGGUUACCCCCAUUGGUAACUCGAGUUCCAGGGGAACCUUUGUAAGCACCUGACACAUGUGCUGCACAUAUACACUUUCAGGCAAAACACUCAUGUGUAUUGUAAAAAAUCCUCAACAGCAGUUUAAAGACAGUGAUCUCAAACUAAUGAUGUACAAGUUUCUAGAAGCAUAGUAAAUGGCAAGAAAUAAUAAAAAUUAGGACAAAAAUAAAUAGAAACUAAAAGAGCAAUAGAAAAAAAUCAAUGCAACAAAAUGUUGAUUCUCUGAAUUGAUAAACAAAAUUGACAAAGGCCCAGCCAAACUAAUUAAAAGUCAAUAAACUUAGAGGUGAGCCUUGCUUUAUUACAGUGGACUCCAGAGAAUCCAGGGAGCAUGGAGGUGACUGAACAAUAUGGAAAAGUGAAAAUGGUAUUUUUGUCUUUAAGGUGAAUUCAAAUACCACAUUUCAUAGGGAAAAAGUCUUCUUUAACACCCAUCAGUACUUUAAUGAUUAAGUACAGAAUAAACACAGAAUAUCAUAGAUUAGCUAAAUUUAGGAGCUCAGCUAUCCACUCUGCUUUUAUUGCUCAUCAUUGUGCUUUUGGGGGAAGGAAAUGCAGGAGGUCAUAGUGAGUGUUUAUUCAGGAGUCCCAGGCAGAUGGUAGGCCUAGACCCUCGGGAGAUGAAUCAGAGUGGGAAGAGCCAUGAUUAUUAUCUGAUGACUUUUGCUAACCUACUGUGCUCACCUCUGAUUCCUCAUUUCCUUUUUUUUUUUUUUAAAGGAGAGCCCAGAAGAAAUGACAGAACACCUGAGCUCUAUUCAGGUAAAUAAACUUACUCCCCAAACAGAAGGACUUUAUGUAGCUUAGAGAUUUGUAUGCCUUUUCUUUUUUUUCUUGGUCUUACUCCUACUGCCUCCAAAAAGUGAAAAUGAAAUGGUUGCCUUCAUAAUGCAGUCAAAUAACUUUUAUCGAGAUUUAUCGGCAUAGACCUAUGUUGUAUCUAGGAUAUAACUCUUCCUAGUUUGACUCUUGCUAUUCUGAUCAUUCAUUGUCUCAUGGAAUAGUAGUUGUAUGUAUCUAAAACGAACCUGAUAUAACUACACUGUGUACAUACUGUGUUUUCAUUAUCCUAGAAAAUCCUCCUGUGCACACAGCAUAGACAGAGAGUGACAAAAUAUCUUUCGUGUCCUUUUAGAGACUGAAUUUCUAGAAUAUGAGAAUAUUGGAGCAUUUCCAUUUCGUAAUUCUUUGUUCUGAUGAAUGUUUUACCAAUAUAAUGAAAGCAAUAUUUAGCGCUUCGAUUGAUUUAGUGAUUUAGUUCUAAUCAUGAACUAAGCUGGUUUCAAUAUGCAUCUAGUAUGUCUUAAACUUUUCUGGGGAAAGAAAAGGAAGUAGGGAACAAGUAUCCAUGUUCAAUCAGUAAUUGUCCCUUUUUUUUGUACCCGCAGGGGAAGAAAUGGAACUGGUAUUUGGACUAUUUAUAUUCAGAGGGUUUUCAGGGCUUAAAACUUUUCAUAAAAAGCAGUGUCCAUAGUUCUGUACCCAAACCAGAGGAAAACACAGAGUGAAAAUUGGCAUAAACAAACGCCAUGCUGGACUACAUUUCUCACUGCUAGAGAGGCUAAGUAGCUCAGCAUGAGUUUCCAUUUCCCAAGCCGACUGGCAUUUUUAAGGAGCACUAAAAGCCUUCUGUCCAUAGCUCAGGAGAGCCUUGGGGUUGACUAACUUAAUUUUAGUAUUCAGAUUUUAAGGUUACCAAUGAAAAACAACCCCUUCAUCAUCCAAUCCUGCCUUCGCUGACAUAGACAUGAAGAGACACAUCUGCUUUCUAGUAGGCAAUUUGCUUUGCAUUUUCGUCUGCUGUGUUAGUGGAAAAGAACAAGUAAUAUCUGAAGUUACUCCUCAGACAUACUUAUGCAGAACCCUCUGCAGUCUCUGAACUCCUGGGGAUAUUUUGCUUUUCUAAGAUACUAAUAAUAGAAUGCAGCACAUGUGACUCUUAACAGUCCCGGGUAGCUCAUGCUUCCCGGGGCCUGUAUUGGCAGUAAGUUUAUGAGGGAAGGGAGGUGAAAAGAUAAAGAAGUUCCAUUUUAUUGAUUUGAUUUCUUGAAAGCACUAUAUUUGAAUGUUUAUGUGUAUGUAUGUAUUUAUGUAUAUAUUCAGAUUUUAAAUUGCUGGGCCUAAAUAAACAUCUUCAGCUUCAGGGGUAUUUCCGAAUUUUUUUUUUUUAAUUUAUACCAGGAAAGAUCCAUUUUCACUAAAAAUUUGUUCUAAAAUGUUGUUUCACUACUGAACAACUUCUAUUUAAUACAUCUACAUUGGUAAUAACACCUGACUUUUCAGUGGAGACUGUGAAAGCCGAAAGGGACUGAACAGAUGUUCUAUAAGCUUCCAGAGACUACAGAUGCCAGCAUAGACUACUAUACCCAGCAAAACUAUGAUCCCAGUCUCCAGCGAGAGAAAACCAUUUCACAAGAAAGCACAUUUAAGCAACUCCUGUUCACCCAUCCAUCUCUACAGAUGGCACUAGAAGCAAUUCUUCACCCUGAAGAGAAGCAUACAAUUGAGAGGACACAAGGAGUAAAUACCCCUAGAGCACUUAGUCGAAAUGGGUGGGGGUGCAGGUCCCUUACGACAACAACAACAACAAUAAAUGAAAUUAAUAAGCACUACUCAUUAAUAAUUUAAUAUUAAUGGCCUCAGUUCUCCAAUAACAUGACUUAGAGACUGGAUUAAAAAAACAGGAUUCGUCUUUCUGCUGAAUUCAAGAAACAUACCUUACCACCAAGGCCAAACAUCACCUUAUCAUAAAAGAAUGGGGGGGGAAAAAGGUAUUUCAAGCAAAUGAAUCAAGCAGCAAGCAGGUAUAGCUGUUCUAAUGUCUGACAAAACAGACUUCAAGCCAAAGUAAUUAGAAGAGGUACAGAUAAAGGAAAAAUCCAUCAAGAGGAUAUUCCAAUUACAGUUAAUGUACUGUAUUAGUUAGGGUUCUCUAGAGAAACAGACCUGAUAAGACAAAUCUAUUUGGAGUUUAUUAGAGUGGUUUACAGGUCAUGGAUCCAGGAGUUCAAUCCACAAGGCUGAAUGUCUCAACAGGUCUUUAGUAUACACCAGAAUCCUGAAGAAGUAGGCUCUAAUACUGGUGAAGGAAUGAACUUGUCAGUGAGAGUGAGGGCAAAACGUUUUCUUCCUUGUCUUCUAGUGAUAUUGGCUUCCAUGAGAAGGUGUGAUACAUAGUUGAGGUGAGUCUUCCUAGCCCUGGUGAUCUGACUAGCUAAAAAGCACGCCUAGGUAUGUCUAGCUCCUGGGCUUUUAGUUAAUUCCAGUAGUCAAGAUGACAAUUAGGACUAGCCACCACAUACACCAAGUUCAGGUCCCAGCACCCACACAGAGGGUCACGGUCACCUGCAACUGCACUUACAGGAGAUCCAAUGUCCUCUUCUGUCCUCCUUGGUCACUGAGUAUACAUGAGGUACACAUACAUACACGCAGGCAAACAUUCACCCAUAUAUAAGUAAAUAUAUAUUUUAAAGAGGACAGAAAAGG